This 433-nucleotide ribosomal RNA is filed under the name uncultured bacterium. RNAcentral describes it as "partial 16S ribosomal RNA". It matches the Rfam family "Bacterial small subunit ribosomal RNA", at positions 29 to 507 of the family's 1533-position model. The record is from RNAcentral.
AGCGAACGCUGGCGGCAGGCCUAACACAUGCAAGUCGAACGAACUCUUCGGAGUUAGUGGCGGACGGGUGAGUAACCCGUGGGAACGUGCCUUUAGGUUCGGAAUAACUCAGGGAAACUUGUGCUAAUACCGAAUGUGCCCUUCGGGGGAAAGAUUUAUCUCCUUUAGAGCGGCCCGCGUCUGAUUAGCUAGUUGGUGAGGUAAAGGCUCACCAAGGCGCCGAUCAGUAGCUGGUCUGAGAGGAUGAUCAGCCACAUUGGGACUGAGACGCGGCCCAAACUCCUACGGGAGGCAGCAGUGGGGAAUCUUGCGCAAUGGGCGAAAGCCUGACGCAGCCAUGCCGCGUGAAUGAUGAAGGUCUUAGGAUUGUAAAAUUCUUUCAACGGGGACGAUAAUGACGGUACCCGGAGAAGAAGCCCCGGCUAACUUCGUG